UGAGUACAAGAUGCUACGGCAUUGAAGCAGUCUAUGUCAUACUUCCAAGAAAAGCUUGCAAUGUCAUAAACAAAUAAUGCCUGUACCAUAACCGACACAGGUGGGUAGGUAGAGUAUACUAAGGGGCGCGAGAUAACUCUCUCUUAGGAACUCGGCAAAAUGACUCCGUAACUUCGGGAGAAGGAGUACCUUAUUUUAUAAGGUUGCAAUAACAAGGUCCAAGCAACUGUUUUACCAAAAACACAGGUCUCCGCUAAGUCGUAAGACGAUGUAUGGGGGCUGACGCCUGCCCAGUGCCAGAAGGUUAAAGAAGUUGGUUAGCAUUAGCGAAGCUGAUAACUGAAGCCCUGGUGAACGGCGGCCGUAACUAUAACGGUCCUAAGGUAGCGAAAUUCCUUGUCGGGUAAGUUCCGACCCGCACGAAAGGCGUAAUGAUUUGGAUACUGUCUCGGAGAGGGGCUCGGUGAAAUAGACUUGUCUGUGAAGAUGCGGACUACCUGCACCUGGACAGAAAGACCCUAUGAAGCUUUACUGUAACUUGAGAUUGAAAUUGGGCUUUAUUUGCGCAGUAUAGGUGGGAGACCUCGAAAGUAUUCUUGCGGGAAUAUUGGAGUCAUCAGUGAGAUACCACUCUUAUAAUGUUAGAUUUCUAACUUUGUAUCAUUAUCUGGUCAAAGAACAGUUUCAGGCGGGCAGUUUGACUGGGGCGGUCGCCUCCCAAAUGGUAACGGAGGCGCACAAAGGUUUCCUCUGAACGUGUAGAAAUCGUAUCUAGAGUGUAAAGGCAUAAGGAAGCUUGGCUGUGAGACCUACAAGUCGAGCAGGGACGAAAGUCGGUCUUAGUGAUCUGACGGUGCUGAGUGGAAAGGCCGUCACUCAACGGAUAAAAGUUACUCUAAGGAUAACAGGCUGAUCUCCCCCAAGAGUUCACAUCGACGGGGAGGUUUGGCACCUCGAUGUCGGCUCAUCGCAUCCUGGGGCGGUAGUACGUCCCAAGGGUUGGGCUGUUCGCCCAUGAAAGCGGUACGCGAGCUGGGUUCAGAACGUCGUGAGACAGUUCGGUCCAUAUCCGGUGUAGGCGUUAGAAUAUUGAGAGGAGCCUUCUUUAGUACGAGAGGACCGAGAAGGACAUACCUCUGGUGUACCAGUUAUCGUGCCAACGGUAAACGCUGGGUAGCUAUGUAUGGAGAGGAUAACCGCUGAAAGCAUCUAAGUGGGAAGCCCACCUCAAGAUAAGUGUUCUA
RNAcentral lists this ribosomal RNA (1244 nucleotides) under metagenome. Its description in RNAcentral is "bacterial LSU rRNA". It matches the Rfam family "Bacterial large subunit ribosomal RNA", at positions 1564 to 2815 of the family's 2925-position model. The record is from RNAcentral.